Molecule: ribosomal RNA, 494 nt
Filed under: uncultured bacterium
Lineage: Bacteria
Description: partial 16S ribosomal RNA
Rfam family: Bacterial small subunit ribosomal RNA
Source: RNAcentral
ACUCAAAGGAAUUGACGGGGACCCGCACAAGCGGUGGAUGAUGUGGAUUAAUUCGAUGCAACGCGAAAAACCUUACCUACCCUUGACAUGUCAGGAAGUCCAAAGAGAUUUGGAUGUGCUCGCAAGAGAACCUGAACACAGGUGCUGCAUGGCUGUCGUCAGCUCGUGUCGUGAGAUGUUGGGUUAAGUCCCGCAACGAGCGCAACCCUUGUCACUAGUUGCUACGCAAGGGCACUCUAGUGAUACUGCCGGUGACAAACCGGAGGAAGGUGGGGAUGACGUCAAGUCCUCAUGGCCCUUAUGGGUAGGGCUUCACACGUCAUACAAUGGUCGGUACAGAGGGUUGCCAACCCGCGAGGGGGAGCUAAUCUCAGAAAGCCGAUCGUAGUCCGGAUCGCAGUCUGCAACUCGACUGCGUGAAGUCGGAAUCGCUAGUAAUCGCGGAUCAGCAUGUCGCGGUGAAUACGUUCCCGGGUCUUGUACACACCGCCCGU